UGAGAAACCUGUCCCGGUCUCUGGAAUAACAGUCGGAAACGAUUGCUAAUACCGGAUGCCGUCGGAGCGUCGCAUGGCGCGCUGACGAAAGGGCUACCGGAUCGGGAGGGUCUCGCGGCCUAUCAGCUAGUUGGUGGGGUAAUGGCUCACCAAGGCGACGACGGGUAGCUGGUCUGAGAGGAUGGCCAGCCACAUUGGGACUGAGACACGGCCCAGACUCCUACGGGAGGNAG
This 233-nucleotide ribosomal RNA is filed under the name uncultured bacterium. Its description in RNAcentral is "partial 16S ribosomal RNA". It matches the Rfam family "Bacterial small subunit ribosomal RNA", at positions 118 to 351 of the family's 1533-position model. The record is from RNAcentral.